ACGCUCGACACCUACGGGAGGCAGCAGUGGGGAAUAUUGCACAAUGGGGGAAACCCUGAUGCAGCGACGCCGCGUGGAGGAAGAAGGUCUUCGGAUUGUAAACUCCUGUUGUUAGGGGAAAAAGAGGAUGGUACCCAACAAGGAAGUGACGGCUAACUACGUGCCAACAGCCGCGGUAAUCUGAGCGGGCUGGCAAGGC
RNAcentral lists this ribosomal RNA (199 nucleotides) under uncultured bacterium. RNAcentral's name for it is "partial 16S ribosomal RNA". It matches the Rfam family "Bacterial small subunit ribosomal RNA", at positions 328 to 539 of the family's 1533-position model. The record is from RNAcentral.